GCGGAAACCUUCUUCGCCUUCUUCUUGGAGAUACCAGUCUUAGAGUUCAACUUUUUCUUGAAACUCUUCUUUGCCUUUUUCUUGCUGAUCUUAUCAACAUGAAGAACCUGAGUCUUUUCAUCCUUGAAAUGACUCUUUGCUGUUUUCAGCAUGUUCAGCAGUUCUGACAAACUGAUGUUUAGUUUGUUCAUGUGAUAAUUAAUGACAAACUGAGAAAAGAAGUUAGAGAGAGACUGCAGGAUCAAAUCCUGGCUCAGUUCACCAUCCAUGGCAAAAUCCAGUUGUCCCAAAUGAGUGAUCAAAUCAAUCAUUUUUAGGAUAUGCGUUUGCACGGAAGAACCUUCAGGCAUACGGGUACAGAACAAUUGCUUCGAUAUCUCAUAUCGAGCAGUUCGACUUUGUUCUCUUUAUAGCUCCUUAAGAUUAAGGAGAAUAGAGGGAACGUCCAUGUCCUCAUGCUACCUCUGGAGCUCGUUGCUCAUGGAGGCAAGCAUGAUACAUUUGACAAUCACACUGUCAUCUUUCCACGUCUUAUAUGUGGCCUUUUUCUCCUCGGAAGCAUCUUUCCCAAGAGAAUCUGAAGCAGGUGUAUUCAGAAUGUAGGAGAUCUUUUUCUGAGUGAGAAUAAUUCUCAAGUUCCUCAACC
Molecule: long non-coding RNA, 646 nt
Filed under: Elaeis guineensis (African oil palm)
Lineage: Eukaryota; Viridiplantae; Streptophyta; Magnoliopsida; Arecales; Arecaceae
Description: long non-coding RNA (EGUI_LNC004616)
Source: RNAcentral